GGCGGGUGACGUAGGGCCGGCGUCUUGGAAGGGGGAACCGGCGGCGGUUGAGGCGACUCGCGAGCCGCUUCCUGCGAAUUUGCUCUUUAUCCUGUGCGGUCGGUCCUUGGAAGUAUUGGAAGAAAGAA
Callorhinchus milii (elephant shark) is the source of this 128-nucleotide long non-coding RNA. RefSeq lists it as uncharacterized. The record is from RefSeq and is a predicted model, not a curated record. Lineage: Eukaryota; Metazoa; Chordata; Chondrichthyes; Chimaeriformes; Callorhinchidae. The transcript has 2 exons.